RNAcentral lists this ribosomal RNA (265 nucleotides) under uncultured bacterium. Its description in RNAcentral is "partial 16S ribosomal RNA". It matches the Rfam family "Bacterial small subunit ribosomal RNA", at positions 8 to 263 of the family's 1533-position model. The record is from RNAcentral.
AGAGUUUGAUCCUGGCUCAGGACGAACGCUGGCGGCGUGCCUAACACAUGCAAGUCGAGCGGAGACAGUGAGUAGCUUGCUAUGAGCUGUUUUAGCGGCGGACGGGUGAGUAACGCGUGAGCAACCUUUCCCAGACAGGGGGAAUAACACACCGAAAGGUGUACUAAUACCGCAUAAGACCACGGGAUCACAUGGUUCUGGGGUAAAAGAUUUAUCGGUUUGGGGUGGGUCUCGCGUCCGAUUAGGUAGUUGGUGAGGUAACCGG